This 416-nucleotide ribosomal RNA is filed under the name bacterium enrichment culture clone ALO1_GLFRUDD03HG5D7. Its description in RNAcentral is "bacterial SSU rRNA". It matches the Rfam family "Bacterial small subunit ribosomal RNA", at positions 9 to 428 of the family's 1533-position model. The record is from RNAcentral.
GAGUUUGAUCGUGGCUCAGAUUGAACGCUGGCGGCAUGCCUUACACAUGCAAGUCGAACGGCAGCACGGGAGCUUGCUCCUGGUGGCGAGUGGCGAACGGGCGAGUAAUGCAUCGGAACGUAUCCUGGAGUGGGGGAUAACGUAGCGAAAGUUACGCUAAUACCGCAUAUUCUGUGAGCAGGAAAGCGGGGGACCUUCGGGCCUCACGCUCUUGGAGCGGCCGAUGUCGGAUUAGCUAGUUGGUGAGGUAAAGGCUCACCAAGGCGACGAUCCGUAGCAGGUCUGAGAGGAUGAUCUGCCACACUGGAACUGAGACACGGUCCAGACUCCUACGGGAGGCAGCAGUGGGAAUUUUGGACAAUGGGGGCAACCCUGAUCCAGCCAUGCCGCGUGAGUGAAGAAGGCCUCGGUUGUAA